GAUGAACGCUAGCGGCAGGCCUAACACAUGCAAGUCGAGGGGUAACAGAGAGAAGCUUGCUUUUCUGCUGACGACCGGCGGACGGGUGCGUAACGCGUAUAGAACUUACCUUUUACAGAGGGAUAGCCUUUAGAAAUGAAGAUUAAUACCUCAUAGUAUUGAGACUUGGCAUCAAGACUUAAUUAAAGAUUUAUCGGUAAAAGAUAGCUAUGCGUCCUAUUAGCUAGAUGGUAAGGUAACGGCUUACCAUGGCAACGAUAGGUAGGGGCCCUGAGAGGGGGAUCCCCCACACUGGUACUGAGACACGGACCAG
RNAcentral lists this ribosomal RNA (313 nucleotides) under uncultured Polaribacter sp. Its description in RNAcentral is "bacterial SSU rRNA". It matches the Rfam family "Bacterial small subunit ribosomal RNA", at positions 28 to 334 of the family's 1533-position model. Lineage: Bacteria; Pseudomonadati; Bacteroidota; Flavobacteriia; Flavobacteriales; Flavobacteriaceae. The record is from RNAcentral.